This is a non-coding RNA of Macaca mulatta (Rhesus monkey), 673 nucleotides long. The record is from RefSeq and is a predicted model, not a curated record. Lineage: Eukaryota; Metazoa; Chordata; Mammalia; Primates; Cercopithecidae.
UAAGAAUGGGUACUGAGAAAACUGCACUGUGGAGAUGAACUCCAGGCCUGCUUCUGUUUCUGUACUGGUUUCCAGGCCAGCUUUCACAAAAGAGGAGUCCACUGUGAUGUCAGUGGUUAUUACCACAGUCACCCUAAAUAUUUGAGAAAAAAAGAAAAAACCUGUUCAUAUUAUAUUUAAUGGAAUUGGACUAACAGCUAUAAUUUUACAGGAUCUGAACUUAUGAUGCCAGUGACUGGAAGAAGACACUUAAGGGAUUCAGAAGUGACCUGGAUGUGCUCAGAGUUCUGCUAGUAACCAGGGCCUGCUAUCCUGAGCUGAUACGAGGAACAAGAAAGAUAGAAAAUUAACACUGUUUAAUCCCAAGUAAUGAGGUUUUGGAGGAGUUUUAAUACAAUCUAAUAUCUAAGAUGUCUCCCAGCCCUUAAAAUCUAUGAUUUCUCAACCAGAAUAUAACAAAUCAGAAUCCUCAAAUUAUCUGGCAAACAACAAAGCUGAUGAAAUCUUCAGACCACCUGCUCCAGGUGCCUCACUUUACUAGUAUGAAACUGUGUCUUAAGGCUAUUAAGUAACUGCCCAAGAGCACAUAGCAAGAAGGUAAUGGAGGCAAAAUUCAAAUGUAGGCUAUUAUCCAUUAAUGUAUUAAAACAAUAAAGCAAACUUUACAAGUCAA